AGAGUUUGAUCCUGGCUCAGAUUGAACGCUGGCGGCAUGCCUUACACAUGCAAGUCGAACGGCAGCACGGGAGCAAUCCUGGUGGCGAGUGGCGAACGGGCGAGUAAUAUAUCGGAACGUGCCCAGUCGUGGGGGAUAACGCAGCGAAAGCUGUGCUAAUACCGCAUACGAUCUAUGGAUGAAAGCGGGGGACCCGUAAGGGCCUCGCGCGAUUGGAGCGGCCGAUAUCAGAUUAGGUAGUUGGUGUGGUAAAAGCGCACCAAGCCGACGAUCUGUAGCUGGUCUGAGAGGACGACCAGCCACACUGGAACUGAGACACGGUCCAGACUCCUACGGGAGGCAGCAGUGGGGAAUUUUGGACAAUGGGCGCAAGCCUGAUCCAGCAAUGCCGCGUGCAGGAUGAAGGCCUUCGGGUUGUAAACUGCUUUUGUACGGAACGAAACGGUCUACUUUAAUACAGUGGGCUAAUGACGGUACCGUAAGAAUAAGCACCGGCUAACUACGUGCCAGCAGCCGCGGUAAUACGUAGGGUGCGAGCGUUAAUCGGAAUUACUGGGCGUAAAGCGUGCGCAGGCGGUUAUAUAAGACAGAUGUGAAAUCCCCGGGCUCAACCUGGGACCUGCAUUUGUGACUGUAUAGCUAGAGUACGGUAGAGGGGGAUGGAAUUCCGCGUGUAGCAGUGAAAUGCGUAGAUAUGCGGAGGAACACCGAUGGCGAAGGCAAUCCCCUGGACCUGUACUGACGCUCAUGCACGAAAGCGUGGGGAGCAAACAGGAUUAGAUACCCUGGUAGUCCACGCCCUAAACGAUGUCAACUGGUUGUUGGGUCUUUACUGACUCAGUAACGAAGCUAACGCGUGAAGUUGACCGCCUGGGGAGUACGGCCGCAAGGUUG
RNAcentral lists this ribosomal RNA (894 nucleotides) under uncultured beta proteobacterium. RNAcentral describes it as "bacterial SSU rRNA". It matches the Rfam family "Bacterial small subunit ribosomal RNA", at positions 8 to 896 of the family's 1533-position model. The record is from RNAcentral. Lineage: Bacteria; Pseudomonadati; Pseudomonadota; Betaproteobacteria.